CGACCCUCAGGCCCUCGUCAGGGGACCUGGCGUUGGGGGACGGCACCGCUGGGAAGGAGGGGGGGGAGUCUCGUCUCCCCCCGCCCCUCGCCCGCCGCCGCCCCCGAAAUGCAGUGGCGGCCUCGCCGCAGCGACCUCCGCGUAGUAGCACAGAACCUCGCGGCCUGGGAGCUGGGCGCGGCCACGCCGUAAAACACCCCCUACGCGAAAACCCUUCGCAACAAGAG
RNAcentral lists this unclassified non-coding RNA (227 nucleotides) under uncultured Cordyceps. RNAcentral describes it as "sequence contains ITS2". Lineage: Eukaryota; Fungi; Ascomycota; Sordariomycetes; Hypocreales; Cordycipitaceae. The record is from RNAcentral.